AGGGGGGUAGUUUAUAUAAGAUUUAGAUUUGUCAAGUUUAAGAAGCCUGUGGGCUCCCCCUA
This 62-nucleotide transfer RNA is filed under the name Donax trunculus (truncated wedgeshell). RNAcentral describes it as "tRNA-Asp". The record is from RNAcentral. Lineage: Eukaryota; Metazoa; Mollusca; Bivalvia; Cardiida; Donacidae.